UACGAAGGGGGCUAGCGUUGUUCGGAAUUACUGGGCGUAAAGGGCGCGUAGGCGGCCGUUCAAGUCGGGGGUGAAAGCCUGUGGCUCAACCACAGAAUGGCCCUCGAUACUGGAUGGCUCGAGACCGGAAGAGGUUGGUGGAACUGCGAGUGUAGAGGUGAAAUUCGUAGAUAUUCGCAAGAACACCAGUGGCGAAGGCGGCCAACUGGUCCGGUUCUGACGCUGAGGCGCGAAAGCGUGGGGAGCAAACAGG
RNAcentral lists this ribosomal RNA (253 nucleotides) under uncultured bacterium. Its description in RNAcentral is "partial 16S ribosomal RNA". It matches the Rfam family "Bacterial small subunit ribosomal RNA", at positions 524 to 776 of the family's 1533-position model. The record is from RNAcentral.